This 497-nucleotide ribosomal RNA is filed under the name uncultured bacterium. Its description in RNAcentral is "bacterial SSU rRNA". It matches the Rfam family "Bacterial small subunit ribosomal RNA", at positions 21 to 507 of the family's 1533-position model. The record is from RNAcentral.
GGCUCAGGAUGAACGCUAGCUACAGGCUUAACACAUGCAAGUCGAGGGGCAGCAUGAUUUGUAGCAAUACAGAUUGAUGGCGACCGGCGCACGGGUGAGUAACGCGUAUGCAACUUACCUAUCAGAGGGGGAUAGCCCGGCGAAAGUCGGAUUAAUACCCCAUGAAACAGGGGUCCCGCAUGGGAAUAUUUGUUAAAGAUUCAUCGCUGAUAGAUAGGCAUGCGUUCCAUUAGGCAGUUGGCGGGGUAACGGCCCACCAAACCGACGAUGGAUAGGGGUUCUGAGAGGAAGGUCCCCCACAUUGGUACUGAGACACGGACCAAACUCCUACGGGAGGCAGCAGUGAGGAAUAUUGGUCAAUGGCCGAGAGGCUGAACCAGCCAAGUCGCGUGAAGGAAGAAGGAUCUAUGGUUUGUAAACUUCUUUUAUAGGGGAAUAAAGUGGAGGACGUGUCCUUUUUGUAUGUACCCUAUGAAUAAGCAUCGGCUAACUCCGUG